GGCCAGGUGGGUGUAGUAGUUGCGCGUUGGACUACGACUCUGGAGACCAGGGUUCGAAUCCCCGAUCGGCCA
Non-coding RNA from Phrynosoma platyrhinos (Desert horned lizard), 72 nucleotides. The record is from the annotation of a GenBank genome assembly. Lineage: Eukaryota; Metazoa; Chordata; Lepidosauria; Squamata; Phrynosomatidae.